CCUACGGGAGGCAGCAGUGGGGAAUAUUGGGCAAUGGGCGCAAGCCUGACCCAGCAACGCCGCGUGAAGGACGAAGGCUUUCGGGUUGUAAACUUCUUUUCUCAGGGACGACGAAAGUGACGGUACCUGAGGUAUAAGCCACGGCUAACUACGUGCCCGCAGCCGCGGGAAUACGUAGGUGGCAAGCGUUAUACGGAUUUACUGGGUGUAAAGGGCGUGUAGGCGGGACUGCAAGUCAGAUGUGAAAACCACGGGCUCAACCUGUGGCCUGCAUUUGAUACUGUAGUUCGUGAGUACUGGAGAGGCAGACGGAAUUCCAAGUGUAGCGGUGAAAUGCGUAGAUAUUAGGAGGAACACCAGUGGCGAAGGCGGUCUGCGGGACAGCAACUGACGCUGAGGCGCGAAAGCGUGGGGAGCAAACAGGAUGAGAUACCCUGGUAGUC
Molecule: ribosomal RNA, 443 nt
Filed under: uncultured bacterium
Lineage: Bacteria
Description: partial 16S ribosomal RNA
Rfam family: Bacterial small subunit ribosomal RNA
Source: RNAcentral